GCGCGUGGAUGCGGUACGAAAAGUAAACACAAGACUAUCGCUGCCUGUCCUUUGCCCACGCCGUUCUUCUGCUCCGUGGCUGUUCUCUCGGCGAGGGUACGCAGGCAUUGCCUUCUCUGAGCUCCUUCAGUGUCUCUCUGUGGGGGGUGGCUCUCAGCCGCGCUGCGGACGCCGCACGCGCCGCGGCAUGAGCAAGCAAGUUCUUGAAUCCCUUCCGCUGGCGAAGGGGAAGGACAUCCACAGCCGGAUAGCAAAGUUGGCACUCUACAAGGAGUGUCUCGCCCUGGCGUACCUCGUGCGCAACAAGCUGGUUCGCGAGCACACGCUGCGGGAGGUGCGUGAGAAGUGGCUCGAGCACCGCGGCGACGGUGGCCACACCCUGCAACUCCAGCUGGCCAGCUGCCUGGAUAGAAUCGCGUACGGCCGCAUGUGCCACUCAAAGGCGCGCCAGCGCCUCCUCCCUAAUGCGAGCGAAUCGUACGACUGGGGGGUGGUGAAUCCGAUGGAGAACCACGAGAAGUUGAUUCGCCGUCGAGAGGAGCGGCAAUGCCCGGACGCGUUUAACCACAGCCGCGGUAAGCGCGAUUUUGUGCCCAUGUCGAAUUGGGGCUACGGUAACAUGGACCCGGACGCGAUUGCGAAGCACAAGGAGCUGACGGACCGGCAGCACUUCAUUGGGCCCCAUUGGCGCGAUCGGCCGAGGCCGAUGGUCCUCGAGGACCUGAGCUUUGAGGAGGAGCUCUACGUUCACUUUCAAGGAAAGCCCAAGAUGCGGAAAACGCCCAAGAAGCACUUCUGAUGUCGCUGCGUGGGCGUUGGUGUGCGUGCGUGCAGCCACAGGGCCGACCCUGCACCCGUGAUCCUGCACAUCACCACGGCAGAGAAGCUCGAGGGUGGCCGAGGAGCCAUCUCGGUGCCAUGCCGCCACACGCCCUCCUCUUCGUCAGCCUUUUUGUUUUCUCUCCCUUGUGCAGGUAUUUGUUUUGUGCGUGCCUUCGCAGAGCCGAGCACCACUGACACUGCUCUCCUGCUGCGUGGUGGCACACACAGGCACACAGACGCGAACAGAUGCUGGGCACACAUCCGCAUGGCAAGACACCCUUCGCUAUUAUCCCUCAAUGCUUCUCCUGUCCUUUCAUGCGCGAUGCCCCCCUCCCCCUCCUCUCGUCACUGCAGGGCGAGAGCCGCCAGAUGAGUCGCGUGCAAGCGAGCAAGCCAUUGG
Molecule: unclassified non-coding RNA, 1222 nt
Filed under: Leishmania donovani
Lineage: Eukaryota; Euglenozoa; Kinetoplastea; Trypanosomatida; Trypanosomatidae
Description: gene:LdHU3.34.6360(CDS-product:hypothetical_prote in_conserved)
Source: RNAcentral